Molecule: ribosomal RNA, 251 nt
Filed under: uncultured bacterium
Lineage: Bacteria
Description: partial 16S ribosomal RNA
Rfam family: Bacterial small subunit ribosomal RNA
Source: RNAcentral
AAUUUACCCCAAACUCAGGGAUAGCCCACUGAAAAGUGGAUUAAUACCGGAUAGUCUCUGCCUUGUGUAGAGUAAAGAUUUUAUCGGUUUGGGAGAAGCCUGCGUUCUAUCACCUUGUUGGUGAGGUAAUGGCUCACCAAGGCUAUGACGGAUAGCUGGUCUGAGAGGAUGAACAGCCACAAUGGGACUGAGACACGGCCCAUACUCCUACGGGAGGCAGCAGUAAAGAAUCUUUCGCAAUGGGGGAAACC